RNAcentral lists this long non-coding RNA (1402 nucleotides) under Nicotiana tabacum (common tobacco). Its description in RNAcentral is "long non-coding RNA (NTAB_LNC009071)". Lineage: Eukaryota; Viridiplantae; Streptophyta; Magnoliopsida; Solanales; Solanaceae. The record is from RNAcentral.
GCUUUCAAUAAAACGUCUUUCAACCAAAAUCCAACAAUUCAAAUCAAAGUGGGAUUUUGUAAUUAUAACAGAGUACGGUGCAAUCUUUUUCAAGGAUAUCAUACGGAUUUUUUCCUACUCCGAUCUUGUUGUUACGUGUUGUCGCAAUUGACGUGUGUUAGAGGGAUUGUCAAGAGAAUCAACUCGGGUAUGUUAAGGCUAUCCCUUCUUUCUUUUGGCAUGAUCCAUACGAUGCAAACGAAAAGUGCAAAUGCACAACUUCUAUAAAUGACUCUAUUCAUAGAAAUGCUAGAGAUGCUUAUGUUCUUGAUUCUCCAUAUGUCUUGCUAUUCUAUCAUAUGUUCAUGUGUCUCAGAAAAAUAUGUAAGUUGAAAAAGUUUACUUCAUGAUAUUAUUCAAAGGCAUAAUGGUCUUAUGACACUCCAAGAGAUUUUAUUGACAUACUUCUCAUGCAUUGCAUUCAUGUACAUUUACCCAUGACCAGAUGGCGUUAUAUACAUGUGUGUGUGUAUAUAUAUUAUAUGUAUAUGGAAUAUAGGAAAAGGUUACGGCGUUAUAUAUGCACCACCACCUGAUCAGCUGGUAUACGUUGAUGAUUUGCCCACAGUGGCCGAGAUGAUAUGAUGGGAUGCCCUCAGAGGCUUGAUGAUGUUAUGAACACAUAUACCCAUGCACGGUACGACAUUCAUAUGCAUAUUCAUGACAUUAUAAAAAUGAAAUGAUUUACAAAGCUAUGCAAACGUACAUGUCGAGUCUUUUACUUCAUGUCUAUUAUUUACUGAUUUCAUUCCUUACAUACUCGGAACAUUAUUUGUACUGACGUCCUUUUUUCCUUGGGACACUGCGUUUCAUGCCUGCAGGUCCCGAUUGACAGGUCGAGAGCCCUCCAAGUAGGCUAUCAGCUCAGCGGAAGAUGUUGGUGCGCUACAUUUGCUUCAGAGUUGCUUGUUUGGUUAGUAUGAUUUAGAUGUGUAUUCUUAGAGGCUUGUAGACAAAUGGUAUGUACGCAAAAUUUUGUAUGGCCUUGUCGGUCUAUGUUCAGUGUACGAGUGGUUAUGUUAGCCUUAUAGGCCCGUAUCUUAUGUAUAAGUUGGUUUCAUAUGUUGUAUUCUACUUAUCUCAUGGCAGCCUUCCGGCUCAAUUAUUUAUAAUAGUAUGAAAUGAAAAUAUAUGUUAUGUUGGUACUCGGUUGAGUAAGGUAUCGGGUGCCCGUAAUGGCCUAUCGGUUUGGGUCGUGACACUUUGACUCUUCUAAAAGUUGCGAAUACCAUUCCAAUGCCCAGGGGCACAAUGUUGAAAGUUGUCGGGAUUUGAAAAGAGAAAUAGAACGGAUGAUCCAGGAAAAACUGAUUGAAAUUGGAGAAGGCCCUAGUGAUUCUGAUGAGCAAAUUGGUGGCUAAAU